RNAcentral lists this RNase P RNA (208 nucleotides) under Dehalococcoidia bacterium. RNAcentral's name for it is "partial RNase P RNA component class A". It matches the Rfam family "Bacterial RNase P class A", at positions 160 to 367 of the family's 367-position model. From Rfam's summary of the family: Ribonuclease P (RNase P) is a ubiquitous endoribonuclease, found in archaea, bacteria and eukarya as well as chloroplasts and mitochondria. Its best characterised activity is the generation of mature 5'-ends of tRNAs by cleaving the 5'-leader elements of precursor-tRNAs. Cellular RNase Ps are ribonucleoproteins. The record is from RNAcentral. Lineage: Bacteria; Bacillati; Chloroflexota; Dehalococcoidia.
AGGUGAGGUAAGAGCUCACCGCGUAAUUGGUAACAGUUGCGGUCCAGGCAAACCCCAUCCGGAGCAAGGCCUAAUAGGGGUCUAUAAGGUUCCGAACCUGACCUGGGUUGGCCGCUCGAUCUUGUCGGCAACGAUAAGACUAGAUAGAUGGUCGUCGCUCAGCCUAUAUGGCUGACUACAGAACUCGGCUUACAGUUCCCCUCGACCG